This is a long non-coding RNA of Ictalurus punctatus (channel catfish), 768 nucleotides long. The record is from Ensembl. NCBI's taxonomy places the organism in Eukaryota, Metazoa, Chordata, Actinopteri, Siluriformes, Ictaluridae.
GUGUGUGUGUGGUGUGUGUUGUGUGUGUGUGUGUGUGUGUGUGGUGUGAGAGAGAGAGAGAGAGAGAGAGAGAGAGCGCGGUACUGAGAUCUGUCCUUCCUGUGAGCAGGUGUGAUGCAGUGUGUGUGAGAGUGUGUGUGAGAGUGUGUGUGAGAGUGUGUGUGAGAGUGUGUGUGAGAGUGUGUGUGAGAGUGUGUGUGAGAGUGUGUGAGAGAGUGUGUGAGAGAGUGUGUGAGAGAGUGUGUGUGAGAGUGUGAGUGAGUGUGAUUGAGUGUGCUACUGAGAUCCUGUCCUUCCUGUGAGCAGGUGUGAUGCAGUAUGUGUGUGUGUAAGAGAGAGAGAGGGAGAGGUACUGAGAUCCUGUCCUUCCUGUGAGCAGGUGUGAGAGUGUGUGUGAGAGUGUGUGUGAGAGUGUGUGUGAGAGUGUGGUGUGAGAGUGUGUGUGAGAGUGUGUGUGAGAGUGUGUGUGAGAGUGUGUGUGAGUGAGUGUGUGACUGAGAUCCUGUCCUUCCUGUGAGCAGGUGUGAUGCAGUGUGUGAUGCAGUGUGUGAUGCAGUGUGUGAUGCAGUGUGUGAUGCAGUAUGUGUGAGAGUGUGUGUGAGAGUGUGUGUGAGAGUGUGUGUGAGAGUGUGUGUGAGAGUGUGUGUGAGUGAGUGUGCUACUGAGAUCCUGUCCUUCCUGUGAGCAGGUAUGACUGAGUGAGUGUGUGAGUGUGUGUGUGAGGUACUGAGAUCCUGUCCUUCCUGUGAGCAGGUAAUGCUGCAGUGU